Molecule: ribosomal RNA, 433 nt
Filed under: uncultured Shewanella sp.
Lineage: Bacteria; Pseudomonadati; Pseudomonadota; Gammaproteobacteria; Alteromonadales; Shewanellaceae
Description: bacterial SSU rRNA
Rfam family: Bacterial small subunit ribosomal RNA
Source: RNAcentral
UGGGAUUAGCUAGUUGGUGAGGUAAUGGCUCACCAAGGCGACGAUCCCUAGCUGUUCUGAGAGGAUGAUCAGCCACACUGGGACUGAGACACGGCCCAGACUCCUACGGGAGGCAGCAGUGGGGAAUAUUGCACAAUGGGGGAAACCCUGAUGCAGCCAUGCCGCGUGUGUGAAGAAGGCUUUCGGGUUGUAAAGCACUUUCAGUAGGGAGGAAAGGUGAUGUGUUAAUAGCACAUUGCUGUGACGUUACCUACAGAAGAAGGCCCGGCUAACUCCGUGCCAGCAGCCGCGGUAAUACGGAGGGUCCGAGCGUUAAUUGGAAUUACUGGGCGUAAAGCGUGCGCAGGCGGUUUGUUAAGCCAGAUGUGAAAUCCCCGGGCUCAACCUGGGAAUUGCAUUUGGAACUGGCGAACUAGAGUUUUGUAGAGGGGGG